ACAAAUGCCCUGCUUCCAGGAAAAGCCUCUAAGCAUCAGGUAACAUCAAAUCGUACCCCAAACCGACACAGGUGGUCAGGUAGAGAAUACCAAGGCGCUUGAGAGAACUCGGGUGAAGGAACUAGGCAAAAUGGUGCCGUAACUUCGGGAGAAGGCACGCUGAUAUGUAGGUGAAGCGACUUGCUCGUGGAGCUGAAAUCAGUCGAAGAUACCAGCUGGCUGCAACUGUUUAUUAAAAACACAGCACUGUGCAAACACGAAAGUGGACGUAUACGGUGUGACGCCUGCCCGGUGCCGGAAGGUUAAUUGAUGGGGUUAGCGGUAACGCGAAGCUCUUGAUCGAAGCCCCGGUAAACGGCGGCCGUAACUAUAACGGUCCUAAGGUAGCGAAAUUCCUUGUCGGGUAAGUUCCGACCUGCACGAAUGGCGUAAUGAUGGCCAGGCUGUCUCCACCCGAGACUCAGUGAAAUUGAACUCGCUGUGAAGAUGCAGUGUACCCGCGGCAAGACGGAAAGACCCCGUGAACCUUUACUAUAGCUUGACACUGAACAUUGAGCCUUGAUGUGUAGGAUAGGUGGGAGGCUUUGAAGUGUGGACGCCAGUCUGCAUGGAGCCGGCCUUGAAAUACCACCCUUUAAUGUUUGAUGUUCUAACGUUGGCCCCUGAUCGGGGUUGCGGACAGUGUCUGGUGGGUAGUUUGACUGGGGCGGUCUCCUCCUAAAGAGUAACGGAGGAGCACGAAGGUUGGCUAAUCCUGGUCGGACAUCAGGAGGUUAGUGCAAUGGCAUAAGCCAGCUUGACUGCGAGCGUGACGGCGCGAGCAGGUGCGAAAGCAGGUCAUAGUGAUCCGGUGGUUCUGAAUGGAAGGGCCAUCGCUCAACGGAUAAAAGGUACUCCGGGGAUAACAGGCUGAUACCGCCCAAGAGUUCAUAUCGACGGCGGUGUUUGGCACCUCGAUGUCGGCUCAUCACAUCCUGGGGCUGAAGUAGGUCCCAAGGGUAUGGCUGUUCGCCAUUUAAAGUGGUACGCGAGCUGGGUUUAGAACGUCGUGAGACAGUUCGGUCCCUAUCUGCCGUGGGCGCUGGAGAACUGAGGGGGGCUGCUCCUAGUACGAGAGGACCGGAGUGGACGCAUCACUGGUGUUCGGGUUGUCAUGCCAAUGGCACUGCCCGGUAGCUAAAUGCGGAAGAGAUAAGUGCUGAAAGCAUCUAAGCACGAAACUUGCCCCGAGAUGAGUUCUCCCUGAGACUUUAAGUCUCCUGAAGGAACGUUGAAGACGACGACGUUGAUAGGCCGGGUGUGUAAGCGCAGCGAUGCGUUGAGCUAACCGGUACUAAUGAACCGUGAGGCUUAACCUUACAACGCCGAAGGUGUUU
This 1376-nucleotide ribosomal RNA is filed under the name Escherichia coli. RNAcentral describes it as "bacterial LSU rRNA". It matches the Rfam family "Bacterial large subunit ribosomal RNA", at positions 1593 to 2925 of the family's 2925-position model. The record is from RNAcentral. Lineage: Bacteria; Pseudomonadati; Pseudomonadota; Gammaproteobacteria; Enterobacterales; Enterobacteriaceae.